This 72-nucleotide transfer RNA is filed under the name Sunxiuqinia sp. RNAcentral's name for it is "tRNA-Thr". It matches the Rfam family "tRNA". Rfam says of the family: Transfer RNA (tRNA) molecules are approximately 80 nucleotides in length. Their secondary structure includes four short double-helical elements and three loops (D, anti-codon, and T loops). Lineage: Bacteria; Pseudomonadati; Bacteroidota; Bacteroidia; Marinilabiliales; Prolixibacteraceae. The record is from RNAcentral. RNAcentral also lists the same sequence under 3 other names.
GCCGGGGUAGCUCAGGGGUAGAGCGCAUCCUUGGUAAGGAUGAGGUCACGAGUUCAAAUCUCGUUCUCGGCU